AAAUUUGGAGCCAGAAAAUCUUACCGUUGUGAGUCUGGAUAUCGUCAAACAGCAGAAAAGGCAACAUGUACACGAGACGGAUGGACACCAGAUCCACUGUGUGCUGAAAUAACUUGUGAGCUUCAGUCAACUACAUCUGGAGU
Molecule: long non-coding RNA, 143 nt
Organism: Carassius auratus (goldfish)
Lineage: Eukaryota; Metazoa; Chordata; Actinopteri; Cypriniformes; Cyprinidae
Exons: 2
Source: RefSeq, a predicted model, not a curated record